Molecule: ribosomal RNA, 497 nt
Filed under: uncultured bacterium
Lineage: Bacteria
Description: partial 16S ribosomal RNA
Rfam family: Bacterial small subunit ribosomal RNA
Source: RNAcentral
GAUGAACGCUGGCGGCGUGCCUAAUACAUGCAAGUCGAGCGAGCGGACGAGAAGCUUGCUUCUCUGAUGUUAGCGGCGGACGGGUGAGUAACACGUGGAUAACCUACCUAUAAGACUGGGAUAACUUCGGGAUACCGGAGCUAAUACCGGAUAAUAUUUUGAACCGCAUGGUUCAAAAGUGAAAGACGGUCUUGCUGUCACUUAUAGAUGGAUCCGCGCUGCAUUAGCUAGUUGGUAAGGUAACGGCUUACCAAGGCAACGAUGCAUAGCCGACCUGAGAGGGUGAUCGGCCACACUGGAACUGAGACACGGUCCAGACUCCUACGGGAGGCAGCAGUAGGGAAUCUUCCGCAAUGGGCGAAAGCCUGACGGAGCAACGCCGCGUGAGUGAUGAAGGUCUUCGGAUCGUAAAACUCUGUUAUUAGGGAAGAACAUAUGUGUAAGUAACUGUGCACAUCUUGACGGUACCUAAUCAGAAAGCCACGGCUAACUACGUG